This is a transfer RNA of Phytophthora infestans T30-4, 73 nucleotides long. It matches the Rfam family "tRNA". From Rfam's summary of the family: Transfer RNA (tRNA) molecules are approximately 80 nucleotides in length. The record is from Rfam. Lineage: Eukaryota; Oomycota; Peronosporomycetes; Peronosporales; Peronosporaceae.
GCGCCGUUGGGUUAUGGGUAAAAUAUCUCGUUGCCAAACGAGAUGCCCCGGUGUUCGAUUCCCGGACGGCGCA